GGCCACAUUGCUCCGAGCUUUGGCUUUAUUUCUUGCCACUUGAACUGAUCUAGGUCAAAGAUAUAUAAAUCAUUAUAAUAUCUCACUUCUCUAAGAGUGUCAUAGAAACCACCGAAAAGAAUAAUUUUGUGCUUGUAUAAAACCAUUCGAUGACCUGAACGUGGACUAGGACAUCCUUUCAAGUUUAAUUGUUCCCAUUGAUUCGUUUUCAGGUCCAAGACCCAUAAGUCCUUGUAGUGAUGGAAGCGCUCCUGAUUUGGAGAUGUGAAUUCACCACCAAAUAUAUAAAGAUAAUUCUUCCAGGCAACUGCCUGAUGAGCACUGCGAGGAGGAGGGCUAUUGGGGCUUGAAAUCCUCUUCCAUUCUUGCUUUUCCACAUCAUAACGGUAAAGGUCACCAUAUACAAAUGUCUUGUUACCAUUGUAGAAUUCACCUCCAUAAAGGAUUAACUCAGUGUCUUUCAAUGGAUUAACGUUUAGUGUACAAUUGGAUCGUGGGGAUGGUGCAGGGACAUUUUCAUCUACAUGGACUUCCUUCUUCUUGGCUUCCUCCUUUUGAAUGCUCAACAAAAUGGCGUCAAUGUCAUCUUCAGGAGAGAGUUUCUUCGUCUCUCUUCGAGUUCUCUUCUCCUCAGCUUUCGCCGUUUUCCUCUCUGUUUUCUCUUUGCCUUUUCCCGGUUUCUUUGUUUUCUUUCCCAUUUCUCUCUUCUCUCUCUCUCUCUCUCUAAACUCAGCUCAAGCGGUCAAGCCUACCUUCAGGUGCACUGUGUCACCGUGGUGCGGCGG
This 785-nucleotide unclassified non-coding RNA is filed under the name Hevea brasiliensis (rubber tree). The record is from RNAcentral. Lineage: Eukaryota; Viridiplantae; Streptophyta; Magnoliopsida; Malpighiales; Euphorbiaceae.